CCAAUAGCGUAUAUUAAAGUUGUUGCAGUUAAAAAGCUCGUAGUUGAAUUUCGGGAUUGACGUGAUGGUCAUGCCUUAAGGGGUAUGAACUGUUGCUGUUGAUUUCUCACCUUCUGGAGAAACUUGAUGUCCUUUAUUGGGUGUCUUGCGGAUCCAGGACCUUUACCUUGAAAAAAUUAGAGUGUUUAAAGCAGGCAUUUUUGCUCGAAUACAUUAGCAUGGAAUAAUAGAAUAGGAUGGCAUGGUUCUAUUUUGUUGGUUUCUAGGAUCACCGUAAUGAUUAAUAGGGAUAGUUGGGGGCAUUAGUAUUCAAUUGUCAGAGGUGAAAUUCUUGGAUUUAUUGAAGACUAACUACUGCGAAAGCAUUUGCCAAGGAUGUUUUCAUUAAUCAAGAACGAAAGUUAGGGGAUCGAAGACGAUCAGAUACCGUCGUAGUCUUAACCAUAAACUAUGCCGACUAGGGAUCGGAUGAUGUUAAUUUUAUAAUGACUCAUUCGGCGCCUUAC
RNAcentral lists this unclassified non-coding RNA (506 nucleotides) under uncultured Entrophospora. RNAcentral describes it as "SSU rRNA". It matches the Rfam family "Eukaryotic small subunit ribosomal RNA", at positions 591 to 1091 of the family's 1831-position model. The record is from RNAcentral. Lineage: Eukaryota; Fungi; Glomeromycota; Glomeromycetes; Entrophosporales; Entrophosporaceae.